UAAAAAAGUAGUAAAUGUAUGGCGGCGCAAUGUUGCGCUAAAUUGGUAAAUCAGCUGAGUUAAAGUAUACUCCUUGCUUGUUGGUGUGUCAGAGGAACCAUAUGAUAUUGCAGUCAUAUGAGAGAGGGCCCGGAAAACUCCAAAAGAAUACUUCUCCCCCACUGUGGCAUUCUGACAAUGACACAAAAUAAAGAGUUGAUAUUUGUCCUAUAUGUUACAAGCACAAACUGUUUAAAAUAUGAACACAUGCACACCAUUAAUUUCUCUCUUCUAACCCAGCAGUCCGAUGGGAACUCUUCAAGCAUAGGUACAAAAUACUGAAUACAGCCAUUCCAAUGACACAGGAGGAAAAUCAUCAUAAAUAAAGACAAGAUCCGCAGGAAUAACCUCAUCACUUCCAGACGGGACACACGCAGCAGACGGACAAGACUGAGGAUUCUCACGAACAUCAGGAUGCGCAUCAUUUUGUUUGCUCUGGAUGAUGGAGAAUCACCACGGUACUGCAGACCCUGCAAUGACAACAAGUGCAGUUCUCACAAGACAGUUCACCUUGAAACAGUGUAAUUGAUUAAAGCCAGUGUACGGUAAAACAAGAUGCAAUACCGCAAAUAGUAAUAUGUAUCCAACUGGGAAUGCUGCCACCAUAUCAGCCACCUCACUGCCGUAGACAUAAAGCGAGCGUCUGUUCAACUGCGGUAGCAGCAAGUUCCUCCAUCCGCUCCAGUGGAAGCGUCUGUGAUUCUCAGGUGUGAGACUCUCCAUAUCCAGGCCCUGACUAAGC
Non-coding RNA from Paramisgurnus dabryanus, 781 nucleotides. Lineage: Eukaryota; Metazoa; Chordata; Actinopteri; Cypriniformes; Cobitidae. The record is from RefSeq and is a predicted model, not a curated record.